Molecule: ribosomal RNA, 848 nt
Filed under: Prominens photiniae
Lineage: Eukaryota; Metazoa; Arthropoda; Arachnida; Trombidiformes; Eriophyidae
Description: partial large subunit ribosomal RNA
Rfam family: Eukaryotic large subunit ribosomal RNA
Source: RNAcentral
AAAUAGAACUUUGCAGAGAGAGUUAACAGGGCGUGAAACCGUUAAUUGGCAAACGAAUCGGAGCCACGAAGUCGUUUCGAUGCUAGUUGGGCCAGGUUCAGUUUAGAUCCAAAAGAUCUGAAUGUAUUCUUGGUGCAACCAUUGUAAGCGUACACUGCAACCAGUUAGACAAUUGGACAUGGAAAUAGUUUGGGUUAGUAGUAGUGGGGAACAUUUCGGUGUUUUCUGUUGCUGGGCCCAAGUAAGUGAGCUAUGUCCAAAUACUGACUGGCACAUUGAAAAUCGCCUCUGGCGUUUUACACAAUGCUGUUGGCUGCACAAUUGCCUACAUGCUUGACCAUGGGGUUUUAAGCUCGACAUCUUCGAAUUUGGACUGGCCAUCUACUAAGGGGCAACUCUUGGUGUUGGUUUAGCUUCCAUCUAAUCAGGUGUUGACUUGAUUCUAUGUUGCUCGAGUAUGAAACGAUUGGGUAGUUGUGCAAGUUGAUAAGCCAUUGAUUGGCAGUGAGUAGGUCGGCUUUCCGAACGACCCGUCUUGAAACACGGACCAAGGAGUCUAAUUAGGCAUCGAGUCGAUCGGUCUUGAAUAGGCCAGACUGGGGACCUCUCCCCGAGAAGGCGUAGAGACAUGUGAUCAGGGCGACAAAACAGUCCCUAUGCGCAACAUGUGCCUGUUCGUAUAACAAUGUGCAAAAUUGUUGGCGGAGCAAAGAGAUGCUUGAUUGGUACCCGAAAGAUGGUGAUGCCUGGGCAAGUUGAAGCCAGAGGAAACUCUGGUGGAGGACUUAGCUGACGUGCAAAUCGAUCGUCAGACCUGGGUAUAGGGGCGAAAGACUAAUCGAACCAUC